AACAGGAUUAGAUACCCUGGUAGUCCACGCCGUAAACGAUGUCGACUUGGAGGUUGUGCCCUUGAGGCGUGGCUUCCGGAGCUAACGCGUUAAGUCGACCGCCUGGGGAGUACGGCCGCAAGGUUAAAACUCAAAUGAAUUGACGGGGGCCCGCACAAGCGGUGGAGCAUGUGGUUUAAUUCGAUGCAACGCGAAGAACCUUACCUACUCUUGACAUCCAGAGAACUUAGCAGAGAUGCUUUGGUGCCUUCGGGAACUCUGAGACAGGUGCUGCAUGGCUGUCGUCAGCUCGUGUUGUGAAAUGUUGGGUUAAGUCCCGCAACGAGCGCAACCCUUAUCCUUUGUUGCCAGCGGUCCGGCCGGGAACUCAAAGGAGACUGCCAGUGAUAAACUGGAGGAAGGUGGGGAUGACGUCAAGUCAUCAUGGCCCUUACGAGUAGGGCUACACGCGUGCUACAAUGGCGCAUAUAAAGAGAAGCGACCUCGCGAGAGCAAGCGGACCUCAUAAAGUGCGUCGUAGUCCGGAUUGGAGUCUGCAACUCGACUCCAUGAAGUCGGGAUCGCUAGUAAUCGUGGAUCAGAAUGCCACGGUGAAUACGUUCCCGGGCCUUGUACACACCGCCCGUCACACCAUGGGAGUGGGUUGCAAAAGAAGUAGGUAGCUUAACC
RNAcentral lists this ribosomal RNA (669 nucleotides) under uncultured bacterium. Its description in RNAcentral is "bacterial SSU rRNA". It matches the Rfam family "Bacterial small subunit ribosomal RNA", at positions 771 to 1440 of the family's 1533-position model. The record is from RNAcentral.